RNAcentral lists this unclassified non-coding RNA (2781 nucleotides) under Anneissia japonica. RNAcentral describes it as "ergothioneine biosynthesis protein 1-like, transcript variant X1". The record is from RNAcentral. Lineage: Eukaryota; Metazoa; Echinodermata; Crinoidea; Comatulida; Comatulidae.
UGGUCAACGUGUUAGUUGUGGGCGGUGGCAUUCAUCUUCAGCUAUUUGUAUUACCUGCCGGUCACCGGUAGUAGUUGUGUAAUGAAUAGUUGUGAUCUUUGUACAAGGUAGGACACUAUCACCUCCAGUUAGCCUAUCUUAUAAUUAUACAUCAGACAACAUACUGUGGUAAAAAAAAUGGAUCCGCUUGGAAUACUAACAGGACCAUACACACUGAAGUCUGUCAAGCCUUGUGAUCUAUCAUCAUGCACAAAAAAGGAUAUAUUGGAGUAUUUUGAAAACAGUUACAGCCUCAAUGAAAGCAUAUUCACAUCCCUCAAAGAGGAACGUGUGUUAAAUGUAUGUCCUGAUAGACUCCGUCUCCCCCUUGUUUUUUACUUGGCACACACCGCAACAGUUUACGUGAACAAACUGAUGCUGGCUGGUCUCAUCAAGGAGAGAGUGGACAUGGAAUUUGAGACUUUAUUUGAAACUGGAGUAGAUGAGAUGUCUUGGGAUGACACGGAGAACUACAGGAUGGGUGGAAGUUUUAAGUGGCCAUCGUUAAAGGCUGUUGCGUCUUACAGGUUAAAAGUUCGCAAUCUUAUCCGCAAAGUCAUCGAGGAAACUCCAUUAGAGCUUCCUAUCACUAUGGAUAGUCCAUGGUGGGCAGUGUUGAUGGGCAUUGAUCAUGAGAGAAUUCACAUAGAGACAUCGUCUGUCCUUAUACGUCAGCUACCGAUAGAAAUGAUUUGUGUCCCACAAGAUUGGAAAAACGCUCCAAGAAAACAUAAAAAUGGAGCUGGAAAAAAUGCCUUUAUUUGCACCAAAGCAACUGAUGUUACAUAUGGUAAGCCUGUGGAUUUCCCUUCUUACGGCUGGUAUAACGAGUACCCUCAAACAACUGCUAAGGUACCGGCAUUCAAAGCCACCAAGUAUCUUAUUACCAAUCAAGAGUUUUUGGAGUUUGUUGAAGACGGUGGCUACGAAAAGAAGGAAUUGUGGUCCAAUGAAGGUUGGACAUGGAGGUGUUUUCGAGAUGCUAAACAUCCAACGUUUUGGGUGUGCUCAUGUGGUUGCAAGUCUGGCUGUGGCAGCAUCCUUUCUGGAUACUCCCACUGCAAGCCUGCAGACAUUUCAAAUGGUCAAGAAAAUGGAAAUAUGAAUGGUCAAGUAAAUGGACACACAAAUGGAGUGAAUGUUAAUGGAAAUGGCCACAUCCUAAACAACAAUGGAUAUGGAUAUCGGACGAUGACCGAGGUGAUUGACUUGCCUGGCGAUUGGCCGGUAGAUGUUAAUUACCAUGAGGCUAAAGCCUAUUGUGCUUGGAAAGGGCCUGAAUACCGCCUACCCAGUGAAGCGGAACACAAAGUGAUGCAAGGAAACCAGGUUGAUCCCGAUGUUGGUGUCUCGUGUGAUCCUUUAUUUUGUGAUGGAUUCAAAGAGAAAUUCAACUCCAAUAUGGUUUUCAACUCUUCCAGUCCUGUGAAUAUGUUCCCAGCAAAUGAGGCUGGUUUUCAUGAUAUGUAUGGCAAUGUGUGGGAGUGGUCGGAAGAUCAUUUUAACGGAUUUCCCAACAGUGAUACGCAUCCAUUAUAUGAUGACUUCGCCACACCAACCUAUGAUGGAUUUCAUAAUGUCAUAAUGGGAGGCUCGUGGGCUUCAACAGGACAGCAAGCAUCCAGAUUUGGCCGCUUUGCCUUCCGGCGUCACUUCUUCCAACAUUUGGGAUUCCGACUGGCUUGCAAUAUUGAUCCCUCCGAUAUUCCACCAAUCCACCUGAUUGACUCUGAAGUACACAUUCUGUCCUUUGGUCACAAAGAAAACCCAUCUUUGUUGCCUGUUGUCCAUAAGAGUAUGUUCUUCCCAAGUACAAAUAAAGAGUAUUUGAAUGACAACCCCGAUGAAAUGCUCUAUAAACAAUACGGCAUCAGUGUCAACAAUUACUACGAUAAUCUGGCUGAGUUCAUCGAUGGGGCGGUGAAAAAUUACAUCGAUCAAUUCCAAUCCACACUUGUCCUUGGAUGUGCAACUGGAAGGCUGGCAUUCCAUCUGGCUCAAACAUUUUCCAAGGUGAUUGGUGUUGAUUACAGUAGUCGGUUUCUUGAGGCAGCGAUUGCGUUACAAAACACAGGCACAUUAGAUUAUCCAGAAUACAGACCAAAGGGCGUUAGCAGCACUAAGAAGUUACGAAUUAAUGAUUCCUGGAGCAAAAGGAAGGCGAUUGUUCCUCAUAAAAUUGACAGAAGCAGAGUUGUAUUUAAGCAGUUAACAUGGAUUCCAAAUGAGCUGAUGGAUUUCAAUCUCGUCGUUCUUGAUUUCUUAGACCGAGUCAUGAACAUAGAAGACUUAGUUGUUCGUCUAUGAAACCUACUACCUUAGAUACAUCUCUGCAAGUUGUGGGUGCCUUAACCAUAUUAAUCCCUAAAAUGAAAAUGGUUUUUAUCACUGAACAAUAUGAAGCCAUCUAAUCGAUCAACAUCAUUGUUAUUGACUAAAUUUUGGCAUGCAUUCAUAUGGAUGCAAGAGAAUUUAUAUAAGAUUGGCUAAAUGCCUUUGUCCUUAGAGUGAAUCUGUCUGGUGGUGGUCAAACAAGAGUGAUAUAAACUAUUUUCAACCUGGGGACGAAGUUGCUGAACUUUUCAUCCCUGCAAGUCCAAAAUUGCAAUAUGUCUAAAACUUGGCUCCUGAGGCUUUGGGAGAUAAUUGUACCGUGUGGACUGAUUAUUAUUACAUCACCAACUGAGUGGAAUGAAGAAAGACUCUACAAAGUUAUCGGAAAGAAGCUGCAAUGUGUUGAUU